AACGGCCGUACCAUGCUGAAUAGAUCGGUUCUCGUUAGAUCACCGAAGUCAAGCCCCAUUGGGCGCGACCGGUACUUGGGUGGGUGACCACCUGGGAACACUGCGUGCCGUU
This 112-nucleotide ribosomal RNA is filed under the name Caerostris darwini. The record is from RNAcentral. Lineage: Eukaryota; Metazoa; Arthropoda; Arachnida; Araneae; Araneidae.